GGCCCUGGUCAUUGACAUUUAGUUCCAUAAUAAACUGUCUCUUCAGGUUGACAGGUGCAAAAAACAAAUCCUCUUUUGCAACCCAGAACUCAUUGUUCAGUAUGAGUUUUGAUACAUACAAGAAGGAAUAUA
Molecule: small nucleolar RNA, 132 nt
Organism: Rattus norvegicus (Norway rat)
Lineage: Eukaryota; Metazoa; Chordata; Mammalia; Rodentia; Muridae
Product: small nucleolar RNA SNORA40
Source: Ensembl